RNAcentral lists this ribosomal RNA (254 nucleotides) under uncultured bacterium. RNAcentral describes it as "partial 16S ribosomal RNA". It matches the Rfam family "Bacterial small subunit ribosomal RNA", at positions 86 to 354 of the family's 1533-position model. The record is from RNAcentral.
UAAUUCUCUAGUGCGCACGGGUGAGUAACACGUGAGUAACCUGCCCCCGAGAGCGGGAUAGCCCUGGGAAACUGGGAUUAAUACCGCAUAGUAUCGAAAGAUUAAAGCAGCAAUGCGCUUGGGGAUGGGCUCGCGGCCUAUUAGUUAGUUGGUGAGGUAACGGCUCACCAAGGCGAUGACGGGUAGCCGGUCUGAGAGGAUGUCCGGCCACACUGGAACUGAGACACGGUCCAGACACCUACGGGAGGCAGCAG